Long non-coding RNA from Spinacia oleracea (spinach), 776 nucleotides. RefSeq lists it as uncharacterized. NCBI's taxonomy places the organism in Eukaryota, Viridiplantae, Streptophyta, Magnoliopsida, Caryophyllales, Amaranthaceae. The record is from RefSeq and is a predicted model, not a curated record. The transcript has 2 exons.
UGGCAAAAGCUGACCCAACCCAUCAACCCGACCCGAACCCAACCCGUUAUUAAUGGGUUGGGUCAAGAUUUUCCAACCCGUUUAGCUAAACAGGUCAACCCAACCCAACCCGUUUAAUAAAUGGGUUGGGUCAGGUUGAAAACUUCAACCCGAAAGCAACCCGUCUAACCCGUUUAAUUAUUGGGUCACAGGUCAACCCGCCAACCCGUCAACCCGCUAACCCAACCCACAACCCGCUUAAAUGUUUUAAAAAAAAAAUCACUAAAAAACUUUAAUUAUUUCUGGGCUUUUUUUUUGGGCUUUAGCUUUUAAGUCUUAUUCUCUAAUAUCAUAUGAAGAAAACCCUAGCAUAUCUCACGCCUCUCAUUCUCUCACUCAAACACUCAGUCUCUCUCUCACUCUCUCUCUCUCAGUCUAUCUCAUUCUCUCUAAACUGAAACCCUAAUCUCUCAAGCGGCGCCUCUCAUUGAUCUCCACUCACCACCGCGCCGAUCGUCGGUCUCCGGCUCAACGCAACGCUAGUCGAUCACUCACUCUGAUUCAACAUCCAAGUAUCAACAAUGGAAGGCUUCACCAGGAACUCAAGAUUUCAACAAAGUUUGAUUCAUAUUAAACUAGCUUAAUUUGAACAAUUUAUUAGCUUUGUAACUUAUUUGAAUUUUAGUUUUAUGUUGGAUUGGGUCACGUAUUAAACUUUUAUUUCUGAUUUGGUGAUGUAUUAAGCCUUAUGACUUGUGGCAGGAUAUUAAUUAAUGGCAAAUUUUGCCAAUUUACGA